This 254-nucleotide ribosomal RNA is filed under the name uncultured bacterium. RNAcentral's name for it is "partial 16S ribosomal RNA". It matches the Rfam family "Bacterial small subunit ribosomal RNA", at positions 524 to 776 of the family's 1533-position model. The record is from RNAcentral.
UACGGGGGGGGCAAGCGUUGUCCGGAAUUAUUGGGCGUAAAGGGCUCGUAGGCGGUUUGUCACGUCGGGAGUGAAAACUCAGGGCUCAACCCUGAGCGUGCUUCCGAUACGGGCAGACUAGAGGUAUGCAGGGGAGAACGGAAUUCCUGGUGUAGCGGUGGAAUGCGCAGAUAUCAGGAGGAACACCGGUGGCGAAGGCGGUUCUCUGGGCAUUACCUGACGCUGAGGAGCGAAAGCAUGGGGGAGCGAACAGG